Molecule: transfer RNA, 76 nt
Filed under: Paracoccus denitrificans
Lineage: Bacteria; Pseudomonadati; Pseudomonadota; Alphaproteobacteria; Rhodobacterales; Paracoccaceae
Also listed under: 43 other names
Description: tRNA_Ala_CGC
Rfam family: tRNA
About the family: Transfer RNA (tRNA) molecules are approximately 80 nucleotides in length. Their secondary structure includes four short double-helical elements and three loops (D, anti-codon, and T loops).
Source: RNAcentral
GGGGCCGUAGCUCAGUUGGUAGAGCGCAUCGUUCGCAAUGAUGAGGCCAGGGGUUCGAUUCCCCUCGGCUCCACCA